AUUAAGUCAUUAAAUUUUUAUUUAUUUAUUGGCUUUUCAGAAAAACGCUGGAUACAUAUGACAGCCACUGACUAAUUGCAGACUAAAUCAUCAAAAAUGGGGAAUGUACCAUCAGAAAGUAACAUGGGCAGCAACCUGAGAUGCUGUAAAUGUUAUAAUGUCCUGCCUCCAUGCAUGAGCUUCAACAAUCUUUAUCAAACUACUCUUUAUGGGCGAUAUGUGUAUGUGUUCAACGGAGGUCAAUAUUACAGACCAGUUGGUCAGGAUAAUAUGUACGAGUGUAGAAGUUGCUUUGACCAAUGGGGGAGAAGUGAAGCGGAGAGGCCGGAGAGACAGAGGAGAGAGGAAGAACAGAGAAGAGAACAGGAGAGGAGAGAAGAGGACAAAAGAAGAAAAAAACUCAAUGAAACUCUGGAAAGUUAUUACCAACGAGCUAAAGAGCAGUUUGAGAAACAGGUGAGAGGGCACAUUUCACAGGAAUGUGAGUCUAAGCGAGAUGUACUAAUAAAGCAUCUGCAUAAGUUUGAAGCCAACUAUGAAUCAAUCAGUGACAGUGACGAGUUUCUUGAAAUCCUCUCAGUGAAAUGCAGUCUCCCAAUUACAAAUCUCAGUCUGAGUCAGCUCACAGCUGAUCAGCUCAGUGAGAUCCUUUCAGUCCUGGACAAACUUCUGUUUGAUGAGUGGAUUCGUGCUCCUCCAACCAUCAGCACUCUGCAGCACACUCAGGUGUUCAUCACAGAGCUCUGUGCUCUGUCUCUGGAGAUAUCUGAAGAAGUUUCCUUACAAACCAUCUCCAAUCAUAUGCAGUCACUUUUGGGAUCCAUCGGCCAAUCAGCAAGUGGUGUUUUUGAAAGUUUCCUCUUGACUCAAGCCCUGUAUCUGAACCUGAUGCACCUUUUCAAUGACUGUGGCAGAUCUGAUAAUGAUGCUGUCCUCAUAGCCAAACAAUGGGCAGAAUAUGAGAUUUCCACUGAGAACCUCUUUAUAAUUGAAUUCCUGAGCACCCUCACAUCAUCACUGCAGAGUGCAGUUGGAAGAGCCUCUGUGUUCACUUUAAAUAUGGAAAUCCAAUGUUUAAAGCUUCUCUUAUCCACACUCACAGAUCUAAAUGGAAAAGAAUCCCACUCAGAAUCCACUGAAAUGCUCCUCAAACUUGUGCAAAGAAACCAAUGGACUCCAAUGGAAGCAGUCACAUUGCUUAAAGCACUGUCACAGAAAUAUGCAGAUGCUGAUUCCAUAACUCAAAUCCUUACCUUGGUACAAGUGUAUGACAUACCACCACACUGGAUAGAUGACUGUGGGCGCUCUCUAAUCCAGCUCCUUGAAUCUGCUGCUCCUGAGAGAUUUUGUCAGGAUUUCCAAAAGACUCUGAGAGGAAAUGAUGAGAGCAGUGUAACUGCAGUUCUAGCAGAAGUAAAGAUGUUGUGGAAUUUGGAUGACUCUGCCAUUGAUAUGAUAAAAAACAUUAACAAUGGUGUCCUGAAAUAUACAGAAAAUGUACCAAAAGAAGAACCUUUUAUGAAAGAUUCAUUUAAAUGUGAAUCUUUGAAUUCAGACAACAUACAGAAGUGUCUGUGUCAGCUCUGCAAAGCAGUGUUCAACAUAAAAGGCUGGUGGCCCACAGUGAGGCAGAUGGUGCGGUGGUGUGGACUGGUGCUGACUCAGAAAAGUGGAGUGGUACAACUGGUUGGUGUGGAAGAAGACCCAUGUGUUACAGCCAUGUUUGCAGCCAUGCAAGUCUGCAUGGGAAACAAACUGGACAUUGUGCUGAGCUCUGAUGUUCACUCAGAGGAGCAAACAAAGGAGUGGUCUGACUUCUACAAGCACCUUGACAUUUCAAUCAACACAAACAUGAAGAAGACUGAUCCAUCAUUCCUGGAUGUCUAUGAAGCAGACAUUGUUUAUGGUACAAUGGAUGAUUUUGUGUCUGAUUACGUUCAACGUGGCAUAGAGGCAAUGGAAACAGGGAACCCACAGUUUAGUCGUGGAUUCAUCAUUGAAAAACAAAGUCUCAGUGCUUUGCAUGCUCUGGAACUUUCAAGACUCAAAGACGGUGACUCCCUGGUGUUUGCUGCAGAGGUCCUGCAGAACCUCAUGAGUAAAUUUCACAGUGAAGAUGUGGAACUGAGACAUAUGUUUUUGAAGGCCCUUUUUCAGGUCCUCCAUUGUAACCUAAAAGAAGAUACAAUUACUGACACAAAAAUCAUCACCAUCUCAAAGAAAAUCACAGGAAAGGAAUUACUUUCUAAUGAGAUCUUUAUUUUGACAUUUCUUGAAAAUCUCUUGCAAGUGUUUGCUAGAGAAACAGAAGCUGUUAAAAACAUGACAGAUCCUGCAGGCAAAUGGUGUUUGGAGAGCUUAUUUGCCUGUGUGGAACAAUUCCAAGACUUAGACAAAGAAACCAAAGAAGUCUUCAAGAUGGUUUCAGAUCUUGGGGAACAAAGAAUUUGGUCACCAGUAGAGGUCUUAAACCUUCUUGGAGCAUUAACUCACAACCACCAUGACGACAGCUGUAUUUCCAUCGUGAAGAUUUUACAUUUGAUGGAAACAUAUCAGGUUUCUUCCAAGUGGAAAGAUGAAAACAAAAAAUCUUUCCUUGAGAUCCUUGAAUCAUCCAAAACUCAGAAUCUGAUCCAGCAUCUAGAAAAGAGCCUCAGAGGUGAGAAAACAAAAAGCAUUGACAACCUUUUCUGUGAAAUACGGCAGAUGAAAGUCACUGAUGAACAAACACUGAGUAAAACAUAUGACAUAGUAGCUCAUGUAACAAACUUAAUCAAAACUGGUGAAAUUAAAAAACACACAUGUGAUGUGGAACAUGUUAGGUCUCUGUGUCAAAGCAAAGAAAUUGAGGACCUUCAGGAGAUCCUUGCAGUCUUAUGCAAUGCUGUACACCUCCAUAAAGCUGAAAGGAAGUGGUUUCCCAGGACAACUCAGAUGAUAAGCUGGUGCCUGUUGGCCCUGUCUGACACUGGGAAGCUCCUGGAGAUGGGAACUGGAGAAGGGAAGUCUUGUGUCAUAGCGAUGUUUGCCGUGCUGCGUGUGCUUAGAGGUGAAAAGGUGGAUGUAGUGUCCAGCUCUUCUGCGUUAUGUCAAAGAGAUGCUGAAGAAUGGGCCAAAUUUUACAAAUACUUUGGCAUUACAGUCGACACUAACACAAAUAAAAAUGAGGAUAAAGAUCGGAAAGAAUGCUAUCAGAAGGACGUGGUCUAUGGAACCAUUGAAGCCUUUGCUGCUGAUCACCUUCGCCAAAUAUUUGAGAUGAAGGAUGUGAGGCCUGAUCGUAACUUUCAGUGCAUCAUUAUCGAUGAAGUGGACUCACUGCUGCUAGAUCAAGGAGUGCAGCUGACGUACCUGUCCAGCCCCAUGGUGUCCAUGCAGCACCUGAACAUUAUUCUCACCAUGAUCUGGAGCCACGUCAGUCAGUAUGGCUUCCUAUCUACAGGACACCAGACAUUUGUACGAGGUCCUCCUGCUUCAUUCUUCAAGGCCAUCUAUGACUCAAUGAACACAGAAGACACUGAAAUUAAUGAUCCAAUGGCCAUUUUAAGUAUUGCUGAAGAAUCUAACAUUGUGCCAAAAGGAUUUACAGAAGAUAUGUACAAGAGUGAAAACCAUGAACUUCUCAGUAAACUGAAAACAGUGAGUCAGGAUGCUAUGGUUGACUUUUUCAAAGAAAUUGAGGACUAUGUUCCUUACGGCUUUACUGUUUACACACUAGAUGACAAAGGACUGCUCUGUCUUCAAAAGUGCAGUCCAUACAAUGACCGGGACAUCCCAGAGCUUUCAUUUCUUGUCUUGGAGGAAGGAUUGUGUUGUCCUCUCUAUGAGUCAGAAGAAGUUCUCAUCAAGCCCAUUGCAGAAUUGAUCUCUGAGAGGAUUCAGUACACCCCAUGUGAAAACAAUACAGACAAAAUCAGCAUUCCUGGAUUCUUGAAGAAUCUGGUGGAGAAGAAAGUCUCAGUGUGGGUCCAGAAUGCCUUUCUGGCAAUGUUACUGAAACAAGGUCGAGAAUAUGUCAUGGAAAAUGACAACGUCUGUCCAGUGGACUUCAGAUCCACUGGUAUUGUUGAACUGAAUAAGAAGUGGGGUGAUGGUCUGCAGCAGUUUGUGGAGAUUAAACACCAAGUCAAACUGAGCACAAUUUCAACAGUGACAAACUACAUUUCCAACAUCUCCUUUUUUGAGAAAUACCAGGGAAAAAUAUACGGAACAACAGGAACACUGGGGAGCAAAGCAGACAUUCAGUUUUUGCAGGACCUAUAUCCAAAUCUCUCUGUGUGCAAAAUACCAACAUUCAACAGGAAAAAGUUAUUUGAGGUCAAAGGUGCUCUGAAAAAAACAGCUGAAGAAUGGAAAUCUGAAAUAAAACAUGUGGUCACGGCUCAGAUUUCCCCAAAUUCAUACAGAGAUGGAAGAGCAGCGUUGGUGAUCUGUGAAACUAUCAAUACAGCCAAAGAGAUCUAUGAAGAGCUGAGGAGCAGCAUCCCAAGUAAAAAAGUAAUUCUCUACUGCCGCAGUGACAGAGACCGUUUGAGUAAAAUAGACAAGGAGCUGCUUCCUGGUGAUGUCAUUGUUGCCACAAACCUUGCCGGCCGUGGCACAGACAUUAAAGUGUCCAGAGAGGUGAACAAUAAUGGAGGGUUAUUUGUGAUCCUCUCCUUCCUUUCCGAGAACACAAGAGUGGAACUCCAGGCUUUUGGACGAACUGCACGCAAAGGUAAACCUGGAUCUGCUCAGAUAAUCAUUUCCACUGAACACCUGCAGCCAUCUUUCCACACAGUGUCCUCUCUGGAGGAAGCGAAGAGCACAAGGGACCGACUUGCAGCAGAAAAGAUAAGUCACAUAAUGAACGAUGUUGCUGAGAUGAAACUGCGGGAGGACCUGUUUUCAGAAUACUGUGAAACACUUCAAGAUAUUUAUAACACCACCGAUGGUGACGAGGAAAGAGCUGUUGUUGACAUGAUGAAUGAGUUUUGGGGGAUUUGGCUGCAAACUAAAUCAGAGGAAAUUGAUCAGUUGAAAAGAAAUGAAUUGCAAGAGAGUCUGAAAGCUGAUUUGUCAAAGGCAAAAAGUCAGUCUGAAAGUCAAACUUCACCAUGUUCCAGCAUUUAUCACUACAUCCAGUUUGGGAAUAUUGCACUGGAUGAAAAAAAGUGGGAUACCGCAGCCAUAAUGUUUGAAAAAGCCAUGAAACAGGAUAAAAGCUGGGCAGCUGUAGCUUUUUACACUCGUGCAUACUGCUCUAUACAACAGGCGGAAGGAGAUUACCUCACUAAGGCCAUAGAUGAUCUAAUGAAGGCACAGGAAUCUCUGAAGUUUCUCAGUGAAGAAUCAGUAGUCUGCCUUCAGUUUGUAAAAAUGUCCUCUGCAAACUCAGCCAACAGCAACCCAACCAGCCUGGAAAAACGGUUAUCAACCAAGUGCAACGUUCUAAGUUACUUUGACAAAAACAUUACCGAGGCCAUCGAAAAGUUGGAUGAAAUAAAACAACAAAAGAGGAAUCCAGUGGUAAAAAAAUCCCCUAUUUUCUGCUUGGUAUCAGGGGCUGAUAAAGAUCUCCAAGUUGAAGUCUAUACCCUCUAUAAUCGAGGUCUGAGAUAUAUAUUUUCUGUGGAAGAUGAGCCUCAUUUCUCAUGGGAAGGUCUUCUGGUGACCUUUUUUGCAGUUUUACAGAAUAUUGGAGGAGCAUUGCUCACUGCAUGUUUGUUUCGUACAUUAGCUCAAGUUGGCAUGGGACUCAUUUCUGAAGAAAAAACAGACAGCACGAGUGAGUCUAUGGUGACAGGAGAAUUCAGCUGGAAGUCAUGGGCGAUAGAAAAAGCCAUUUCUCUUGGUGUAUCUCUCGUUGGGUUUGGAGUUGGAAAGUUGAUCGCAAAGAGCUUCAAAUCUUCUGAAACAUUACUCAAAGGAAUGAGCAAAAAGAUGAAGCCGAUGCCAAAGUUUCUCUCCAGACAGGCUGAAGAAAAUGUUAGUGCUGUAACAAAUAUGAAGAAUGCAGAAAUGGCAAUUAAGAAUGGUUUUGGCAAUAAAGAAGAGAAAAUACUGGCAGAUGUAGUAAACAGCAUCAAAUCUGAUUUAAAAGAAAGGAUUGUCCCCAGUGUGGAAUCAAACAUGAAAAAAGACCCCUUAGCUACAUUAGUAGACUUCAUCAUUCUCUCACAACCUGAGGAUAAAAAGCAACUUCAAGAUCUUCUGAAUGAUGAGAGCAGAAAGAAAAAUCUCUUGGCCAUUUUCACAGAGUUAAGCAAAACUGCAGUGCAGCCAUUCUAUGCAGACCUCAGUUGGCAGAAUAAACUGAAUUCAUCUCUCUCCAAAAUAACUGAAAAAGCCAAAUCACACACCAAAGAAAAUGCAUCUGCAAUUCUUACCACAAUCCAAACUCGUUACAUGGGCCGACUGGCAGACAAUACCAUCAGUACAGUGCUCAGCCUCCCAUAUAAGUUUUUCUCAAAUCUUCAUGAAGAGCUGAAAAUAUUUAAAGAAAAGCAAGGAAAACUAGAGAAUGUGAAAGUAAGUGAUCUAUCUGCAGAAAACAUUAAACUAUUGAAAGACUUCAAGCACGACUUAGCUGGCACCAUCAUUACUCUAUUGGCUGAUGCUUUGGUAGAAGUCUUCCACCACAGGUUCUCUACUUAUGUUGUUUCUCAUGUUCACGGUCAAAUGAAAAGUAAUAUUGACCAUUACAUAAUCGUAAACAACUUAAAGAGUGACAGGACAGAGGAAAAACUCAGAGCUGGGCAGAACAACAUAUAUGUGUCAAGAAAGCUGAAUUCUAAACACAAACUUAAAGCAGAGGCAGGUCAGCGCUCACGAUCACAUGCUGAAAAGAUCAAGAACUCCACGACUGCAGGCACCAUCCUCGAUAUCAGAGUCCUGUCAGAAGUCACUGGCACUAAAGUUGUCAUCCUAACAGAGGACAGCAAUGGAAGACUUACCAAAAUGCAGGAGCUGAGCCCAGACACUAGACCUGCCAAUACAACUGUGACGUUGAUCUACAGACCAAAGAGUGACCAAUACCCUGAUGGCCAUUAUGAUGUGCACAUCAAUAACCAGACAGUGAGCAUAGAGAGUGAGGGCAAGAGCUGUUUGUUUCAUGCUUUGGCACGGGAUAUGAAACCAGAAGGCAGCUCUGCCGAGAUCGCUUUGGAAGCAGACCGCCUUCGAUCUGUGGAGGCUGAUGCUCUCCUCAGUAACCCAGGCCAAUGGGAGCCUUUCCUCAAGCACAAAGAGUUGACUGAAGCAAUCAGGGGAGGGGACUGGUAUGUGGCAGAAGUAGCUGCACCCAAAAAGGCCAUAAAAGAAAGCAAAAAGUUACACCAGGAAGAGUUUGGAAAAGUAGAGUUAUACCAAGAAUGGCAAAAAUAUACAAAGAAAAACAAGGAACACAAUCCUCAGCGUCCUCUACUGAACAGUAACAACAACUGAGAAUGAGACUGGUGAACAAUCAGCAACAAUUCUUCCACCUGCCUGAUCAUCAUCAAGAGACCUCUCUAUUAUGAUAUGUUACUUUUAAUUCAUUUUUUUUGUUUGUUUUACUUUAUUGAAGAAAACAAUACUAAAAAAAACCACAUUUAUCUCAAUUUUGACUUUGAGGUAAUUUUUUAAUUUAGUUUUAAUUUAGAUCUUUUGAUUCUCUAGUAAAACAUGCAUUUUAAAUACAGGUAAGACAGCAUAACAAUCAUACAUGCUGUUAGAAAGCCUUGGUCCCGAAUGCUGUUUAGAAUCAGGUCAGGUAGGACCGUUUGAUUUGUUUCUAAAAGGUUAUUUUCAGACUUCAAACAAAUUUUGACAUGAUCAGAAAUGAGUAAAAUUUGAAGGUCAAAUAUUCAAUUCUAAGGAACUCCCAGACACAAUAGCAAAAGCUAGCAUAUUUGAGUCCACUGCAUUAUUAAUCAGUCAGGAAAAAGAAAGGUUAGCCUGUCUACAUGUCCUUCUCUUGUCAGUUUCCAAGUAUAUUCCCAGUUACUGCCCUAUAGUGUAGAUCUAUCUAAUAUGUAAUCUUUUUUCAACAAAAAAGUCAUUUAAUUUCAAUGCAAUUUGAUUAUUAUAUUGAUUAUAUUGUUUUGCUUAUUUACAAAACCAAUUCCAAGUAUUUGGGAUUCUGUGUAAAAUGUAAAUUGAAACCAAAUACAAUCAUUUGCAGAUAUUACAAGUUCAUAUAUCUACAUUUCAGCCUUGUGAAUGCUGCCAAUUCCAUAGACCCUUAUUUGCUGCCUAAAGGUGCAAAGAUAUCCAGUUGGGAUUUUUUGCUUUGACCACUGUACAAUUUUUUUCCCCAGACUCUGAAUGCUUUAAUGAUGUUGUCAUAUCUUCCUAAUUUUGGACAUAGUUAUAUUAUUCUUAUGUAGUUCCACAAUUUAAAGCCAGUUUCUUGCAGACCGGUGAACCUCUACCCAUCUUAACUUCUGAGAUUUUCUUUUUUUUUUUAAUACCCGGUCAUGUUAGUGACCUGUUGUCAAUUCAUAUAAUUAGUUGCAAAAUGUUGCUCCAGUUGUUUAAGUUUAGCACCACCCUCUUGUUGCUCUGUCCCAACCUUUUUGAGACAUGUUGCUACUAUUAAAUUCAAAAUGAGCUAAUAUUUUUCAUACAAUUUUAAACUGUCUCAUUUUAAACAUUUGAUAUAUUUUUACAUUUUAUUAAGAUCAUUGCUUUCUUUUUGUAUUUAAUUUUUUUUAGCUUUAAAAAAAUGGUUUGUAAUCUGAUGUAUCUCUCCUGUGUUCUACACCGCUUAAUUAAUUUGAUUGUUCAAUAACAUAUAAUCAAAGAAAAGUAUUAAUCAAUUGACUUAUAUGGAAUUUGUCAUAUAUGUGUCAACUAAUAAAUGGAAAUUAAGUAAUGACGUAAUUAUGCAUUAUCAUUAAAGUGUUUCAAAUUUAUGCUAAAAUCAAGACUUUAAAGUAACUACAGGUGUUACCGUAUAAUUAAAGAACGCUUAAAAUUGAUAUUUCUGAGGUUAAAAGUGAUCUGUGCAAUUGCAAAAUCUUCUGUGUUUUAAUUCUCACAAUUUUCUUCAUCUUCUGGAUCAAUAUAUAUAUAAUUCAUAAAUCGAGCUUAAAUUUACUGUGAUCUUUGACUAAUUUUUUCCUCCACU
Molecule: long non-coding RNA, 9091 nt
Organism: Oreochromis niloticus (Nile tilapia)
Lineage: Eukaryota; Metazoa; Chordata; Actinopteri; Cichliformes; Cichlidae
Source: Ensembl